GACGAACGCUGGCGGCGUGCCUAAUACAUGCAAGUCGAACGCUUCUUUCCUCCCGAGUGCUUGCACUGAAUUGGAAAGAGGAGUGGCGGACGGGUGAGUAACACGUGGGUAACCUACCCAUCAGAGGGGGAUAACACUUGGAAACAGGUGCUAAUACCGCAUAACAGUUUAUGCCGCAUGGCAUAAGAGUGAAAGGCGCUUUCGGGUGUCGCUGAUGGAUGGACCCGCGGUGCAUUAGCUAGUUGGUGAGGUAACGGCUCACCAAGGCCACGAUGCAUAGCCGACCUGAGAGGGUGAUCGGCCACACUGGGACUGAGACACGGCCCAGACUCCUACGGGAGGCAGCAGUAGGGAAUCUUCGGCAAUGGACGAAAGUCUGACCGAGCAACGCCGCGUGAGUGAAGAAGGUUUUCGGAUCGUAAAACUCUGUUGUUAGAGAAGAACAAGGACGUUAGUAACUGAACGUCCCCUGACGGUAUCUAACCAGAAAGCCACGGCUAACUACGUG
Molecule: ribosomal RNA, 508 nt
Filed under: uncultured bacterium
Lineage: Bacteria
Description: partial 16S ribosomal RNA
Rfam family: Bacterial small subunit ribosomal RNA
Source: RNAcentral